UCCCCCCACUCCCUGCUGGCAGAACUGACCUCCUUCGCCAUGCCAUGACUGAAGGCAUGAGGCUCUGGUGUGACAGAAAGGCAGCACAAGAAUACUGCACAGCACCACAAGCACAGAGGAGAUCACAACGGGACAAACCCUGUAACACAGUGCAGGAAUUGCAAAUGGGCACAGCAUUAAGGCAAGUCCUCACAUCACCAAAAGCC
Cygnus olor (mute swan) is the source of this 206-nucleotide long non-coding RNA. RefSeq lists it as uncharacterized. The record is from RefSeq and is a predicted model, not a curated record. The transcript has 3 exons. Lineage: Eukaryota; Metazoa; Chordata; Aves; Anseriformes; Anatidae.